GGGGAAUAUUGCACAAUGGGCGCAAGCCUGAUGCAGCCAUGCCGCGUGUAUGAAGAAGGCCUUCGGGUUGUAAAGUACUUUCAGCGAGGAGGAAGGUGUUGAGGUUAAUAACCUCAGCGAUUGACGUUACUCGCAGAAGAAGCACCGGCUAACUCCGUGCCAGCAGCCGCGGUAAUACGGAGGGUGCAAGCGUUAAUCGGAAUUACUGGGCGUAAAGCGCACGCAGGCGGUCUGUCAAGUCGGAUGUGAAAUCCCCGGGCUCAACCUGGGAACUGCAUUCGAAACUGGCAGGCUAGAGUCUUGUAGAGGGGGGUAGAAUUCCAGGUGUAGCGGUGAAAUGCGUAGAGAUCUGGAGGAAUACCGGUGGCGAAGGCGGCCCCCUGGACAAAGACUGACGCUCAGGUGCGAAAGCGUGGGGAGCAACAGGAUUAGAUACCCUGGUAGUCCACGCCGUAACGAUGUCGACUUGGAGGUUGUUCCUUGAGGAGUGGCUUCCGGAGCUAAGCGUUAGUCGACCGCCUGGGGAGUACGGCCGCAGGUUAAACUCAAUGAAUUGACGGGGGCCGCACAGCGGUGGAGCUGUGGUUUAUUCGAUGCACGCGAAAAACUUACUACUCUGACUUC
Molecule: ribosomal RNA, 624 nt
Filed under: Citrobacter murliniae
Lineage: Bacteria; Pseudomonadati; Pseudomonadota; Gammaproteobacteria; Enterobacterales; Enterobacteriaceae
Description: bacterial SSU rRNA
Rfam family: Bacterial small subunit ribosomal RNA
Source: RNAcentral